UUAAGCGACUAAGCGUACACGGUGGAUGCCCUGGCAGUCAGAGGCGAUGAAGGACGUGCUAAUCUGCGAUAAGCGUCGGUAAGGUGAUAUGAACCGUUAUAACCGGCGAUUUCCGAAUGGGGAAACCCAGUGUGUUUCGACACACUAUCAUUAACUGAAUCCAUAGGUUAAUGAGGCGAACCGGGGGAACUGAAACAUCUAAGUACCCCGAGGAAAAGAAAUCAACCGAGAUUCCCCCAGUAGCGGCGAGCGAACGGGGAGCAGCCCAGAGCCUGAAUCAGUGUGUGUGUUAGUGGAAGCGUCUGGAAAGGCGCGCGAUACAGGGUGACAGCCCCGUACACAAAAAUGCACAUGCUGUGAGCUCGAUGAGUAGGGCGGGACACGUGGUAUCCUGUCUGAAUAUGGGGGGACCAUCCUCCAAGGCUAAAUACUCCUGACUGACCGAUAGUGAACCAGUACCGUGAGGGAAAGGCGAAAAGAACCCCGGCGAGGGGAGUGAAAAAGAACCUGAAACCGUGUACGUACAAGCAGUGGGAGCACGCUUAGGCGUGUGACUGCGUACCUUUUGUAUAAUGGGUCAGCGACUUAUAUUCUGUAGCAAGGUUAACCGAAUAGGGGAGCCGAAGGGAAACCGAGUCUUAACUGGGCGUUAAGUUGCAGGGUAUAGACCCGAAACCCGGUGAUCUAGCCAUGGGCAGGUUGAAGGUUGGGUAACACUAACUGGAGGACCGAACCGACUAAUGUUGAAAAAUUAGCGGAUGACUUGUGGCUGGGGGUGAAAGGCCAAUCAAACCGGGAGAUAGCUGGUUCUCCCCGAAAGCUAUUUAGGUAGCGCCUCGUGAAUUCAUCUCCGGGGGUAGAGCACUGUUUCGGCAAGGGGGUCAUCCCGACUUACCAACCCGAUGCAAACUGCGAAUACCGGAGAAUGUUAUCACGGGAGACACACGGCGGGUGCUAACGUCCGUCGUGAAGAGGGAAACAACCCAGACCGCCAGCUAAGGUCCCAAAGUCAUGGUUAAGUGGGAAACGAUGUGGGAAGGCCCAGACAGCCAGGAUGUUGGCUUAGAAGCAGCCAUCAUUUAAAGAAAGCGUAAUAGCUCACUGGUCGAGUCGGCCUGCGCGGAAGAUGUAACGGGGCUAAACCAUGCACCGAAGCUGCGGCAGCGACGCUGAUGCGUUGUUGGGUAGGGGAGCGUUCUGUAAGCCUGCGAAGGUGUGCUGUGAGGCAUGCUGGAGGUAUCAGAAGUGCGAAUGCUGACAUAAGUAACGAUAAAGCGGGUGAAAAGCCCGCUCGCCGGAAGACCAAGGGUUCCUGUCCAACGUUAAUCGGGGCAGGGUGAGUCGACCCCUAAGGCGAGGCCGAAAGGCGUAGUCGAUGGGAAACAGGUUAAUAUUCCUGUACUUGGUGUUACUGCGAAGGGGGGACGGAGAAGGCUAUGUUGGCCGGGCGACGGUUGUCCCGGUUUAAGCGUGUAGGCUGGUUUUCCAGGCAAAUCCGGAAAAUCAAGGCUGAGGCGUGAUGACGAGGCACUACGGUGCUGAAGCAACAAAUGCCCUGCUUCCAGGAAAAGCCUCUAAGCAUCAGGUAACAUCAAAUCGUACCCCAAACCGACACAGGUGGUCAGGUAGAGAAUACCAAGGCGCUUGAGAGAACUCGGGUGAAGGAACUAGGCAAAAUGGUGCCGUAACUUCGGGAGAAGGCACGCUGAUAUGUAGGUGAAGCGACUUGCUCGUGGAGCUGAAAUCAGUCGAAGAUACCAGCUGGCUGCAACUGUUUAUUAAAAACACAGCACUGUGCAAACACGAAAGUGGACGUAUACGGUGUGACGCCUGCCCGGUGCCGGAAGGUUAAUUGAUGGGGUCAGCGCAAGCGAAGCUCUUGAUCGAAGCCCCGGUAAACGGCGGCCGUAACUAUAACGGUCCUAAGGUAGCGAAAUUCCUUGUCGGGUAAGUUCCGACCUGCACGAAUGGCGUAAUGAUGGCCAGGCUGUCUCCACCCGAGACUCAGUGAAAUUGAACUCGCUGUGAAGAUGCAGUGUACCCGCGGCAAGACGGAAAGACCCCGUGAACCUUUACUAUAGCUUGACACUGAACAUUGAGCCUUGAUGUGUAGGAUAGGUGGGAGGCUUUGAAGUGUGGACGCCAGUCUGCAUGGAGCCGACCUUGAAAUACCACCCUUUAAUGUUUGAUGUUCUAACGUGGACCCGUGAUCCGGGUUGCGGACAGUGUCUGGUGGGUAGUUUGACUGGGGCGGUCUCCUCCUAAAGAGUAACGGAGGAGCACGAAGGUUGGCUAAUCCUGGUCGGACAUCAGGAGGUUAGUGCAAUGGCAUAAGCCAGCUUGACUGCGAGCGUGACGGCGCGAGCAGGUGCGAAAGCAGGUCAUAGUGAUCCGGUGGUUCUGAAUGGAAGGGCCAUCGCUCAACGGAUAAAAGGUACUCCGGGGAUAACAGGCUGAUACCGCCCAAGAGUUCAUAUCGACGGCGGUGUUUGGCACCUCGAUGUCGGCUCAUCACAUCCUGGGGCUGAAGUAGGUCCCAAGGGUAUGGCUGUUCGCCAUUUAAAGUGGUACGCGAGCUGGGUUUAGAACGUCGUGAGACAGUUCGGUCCCUAUCUGCCGUGGGCGCUGGAGAACUGAGGGGGGCUGCUCCUAGUACGAGAGGACCGGAGUGGACGCAUCACUGGUGUUCGGGUUGUCAUGCCAAUGGCACUGCCCGGUAGCUAAAUGCGGAAGAGAUAAGUGCUGAAAGCAUCUAAGCACGAAACUUGCCCCGAGAUGAGUUCUCCCUGACUCCUUGAGAGUCCUGAAGGAACGUUGAAGACGACGACGUUGAUAGGCCGGGUGUGUAAGCGCAGCGAUGCGUUGAGCUAACCGGUACUAAUGAACCGUGAGGCUUAACCUU
Molecule: ribosomal RNA, 2902 nt
Filed under: Escherichia coli
Lineage: Bacteria; Pseudomonadati; Pseudomonadota; Gammaproteobacteria; Enterobacterales; Enterobacteriaceae
Also listed under: 2 other names
Description: bacterial LSU rRNA
Rfam family: Bacterial large subunit ribosomal RNA
Source: RNAcentral